Chelonoidis abingdonii (Abingdon island giant tortoise) is the source of this 444-nucleotide non-coding RNA. The record is from RefSeq and is a predicted model, not a curated record. Lineage: Eukaryota; Metazoa; Chordata; Testudines; Testudinidae.
AGCAGAAUUUUAGACCUAGUUUUCUAGUUUGCUUUAUUCUUAGAGAAACCUUCAUACUUCAACACGGUCCUUCCUUAUGUUGGGGGACAGAGAUAACAUCUCCUUUUGUCAUCUUCCCUUGUCUUGGUCCAGGAGUACCAAGGCUAGAGGGAUGUUGAAGAGCCACGUGACACAGUUUGUUAUUCUGGUGUUGGGAACCAACAGAUCAAAAGGGCAACAAACAGUUAAAAAGUCUCUCUCUAUCCGGAGAGGAAGCAGUUACUUGGGAGCUGAACACAAGGAACAGACUGACAGCCACAGACACCUAGUUGUGGAGUCUAAAGAAACUAGGCCUUCCUAAGCUCCCUACAAACACGGGGGUGGGAAUGGUCUUAAGCCGUAAAGACUAUGUCAAAGUAAUGAAGAGAACAUUGUAUACUGCAUACAAGAGCUGAGGGAGACGGG